Molecule: ribosomal RNA, 470 nt
Filed under: uncultured bacterium
Lineage: Bacteria
Description: bacterial SSU rRNA
Rfam family: Bacterial small subunit ribosomal RNA
Source: RNAcentral
AUUGAACGCUGGCGGCAUGCCUAACACAUGCAAGUCGAACGGCAGCACAGCAUGUAGCAAUACAUGUGGGUGGCGAGUGGCGGACGGGUGAGUAACGCGUUGGAAUCUGCCCUAUAGUGGGGGACAACCCGACGAAAGUCGGGCUAAUACCGCAUACGCCUACGGGGAAAGGCUUCGGCCGCUAUUGGAUGAGCCCGCGUCGGAUUAGCUAGUUGGUGAGGUAAUGGCUCACCAAGGCGACGAUCCGUAGCUGGUCUGAGAGGACGAUCAGCCACACUGGGACUGAGACACGGCCUAGACUCCUACGGGAGGCAGCAGUGGGGAAUAUUGCACAAUGGGCGAAAGCCUGAUGCAGCAAUGCCGCGUGUGUGAAGAAGGCCUGCGGGUUGUAAGGCACUUUCGGUAGGGAAGAUUAUGACGGUACCUACAGAAGAAGCACCGGCUAACUCCGUGCCAGCAGCCGCGAUAAU